Molecule: ribosomal RNA, 253 nt
Filed under: uncultured bacterium
Lineage: Bacteria
Description: partial 16S ribosomal RNA
Rfam family: Bacterial small subunit ribosomal RNA
Source: RNAcentral
UACGAAGGGGGCGAGCGUUGUUCGGAAUUACUGGGCGUAAAGGGCGCGUAGGCGGCCGAUCAAGUCAGAUGUGAAAGUCCUGGGCUUAACCUGGGGACUGCAUUUGAUACUGAUUGGCUUGAAUGCAGGAGAGGAUAGCGGAAUUCCCAGUGUAGAGGUGAAAUUCGUAGAUAUUGGGAGGAACACCUGUGGCGAAGGCGGCCGUCUGGGCCGACCCUGACGCUGAGGCGCGAAGGCGUGGGGAGCGAACGGG